RNAcentral lists this ribosomal RNA (500 nucleotides) under uncultured bacterium. RNAcentral describes it as "partial 16S ribosomal RNA". It matches the Rfam family "Bacterial small subunit ribosomal RNA", at positions 30 to 523 of the family's 1533-position model. The record is from RNAcentral.
AUUGAACGCUAGCGGGAUGCCUUACACAUGCAAGUCGAACGGCAGCGCGGACUUCGGUCUGGCGGCGAGUGGCGAACGGGUGAGUAAUGUAUCGGAACGUGCCCAGUAGCGGGGGAUAACUACUCGAAAGAGUAGCUAAUACCGCAUACGCCCUACGGGGGAAAGGGGGGGAUCGCAAGACCUCUCACUAUUGGAGCGGCCGAUAUCGGAUUAGCUAGUUGGUGAGGUAAAGGCUCACCAAGGCGACGAUCCGUAGCUGGGUUGAGAGGACGACCAGCCACACUGGGACUGAGACACGGCCCAGACUCCUACGGGAGGCAGCAGUGGGGAAUUUUGGACAAUGGGGGCAACCCUGAUCCAGCCAUUCCGCGUGUGCGAUGAAGGCCUUCGGGUUGUAAAGCACUUUUGGCAGGAAAGAAAUCGCACGGAUUAAUACUCUGUGUGGAUGACGGUACCUGCAGAAUAAGCACCGGCUAACUACGUGCCAGCCGCCGCAGUAA